AGGGAAGAGCAGGUCCUCCGUCUGAGGGCUCAGGUUGUAGCUCAGCAGGUACACUGCGCCCAGCUGGAGAGUGGAGACGAUGCCCUCACCGCUCUGAGCCAGCAGCUCCGAGACACGCUGGGAGAACUGGAGCACAGUCGUAAACACAGCCAGGAGUGUGAGCUGCUCAUCAGCACUCUCAGAGACACCGCUGCUACCCUUCGCUGACAGAGGUGCAGCGACUGCAGGAGCAGGUGAGAAAGCUCCAGGUGGAUGCAGCAGAUGAGGGCUGGAGACAAGCACAAGUUGAUUCUCUGGAACAGAAGGUAGCUAGUCUGGAAGGAGAACUACUGGCAGCUCAAAGGCAGUGUGACCAGGUAAACAAUGUAUGUACAGAUCAGAUACACUUUGCCUGUGGCAGAUUCUCACAGUCACUCUCUCUCAGGCUAUCCAAAAGAGAGACGCCCUACUUAGACAAUCCGAGGCUGAUCUUCUGCAGGCGUGGGAGAAGAUCCGAAGCAAGGCGGCGGAGGCAGAGAGACAGGCCGUCUCUGCUCGAGGGCUAGAAGCUGAUCUGUAGAAACCCAAGAAAGAGAAAAGGCGAAGGGAGAAAGAGUGCGCCUCACUCAAAACACAGAUGCUUCAGCUCAGAGAACAACUGAAGGAGGCUUACACCACCUGUAGAGACACGGCAGUCUCCUGUCUGAAAUGAAACGACCCAUCAAUUCAGAGCCUCAAGACAUCAGCUGCAUGCACAUCUUCACACACACCACUGUGGGAAUGAUGCUCAUUAGAAACAAUAUCCUCAGCACAGAUGAAGACGGGCAGAUGUGGCCAAGGAGCUGACGCAGCAGCAGGAGAAAGUGCAGCUGUUGGAGAGAGGCCAGUGUCUGGCUCAGGAGCAGCUCUCAGAGAGAAAGCUCAGAGGAGACUCCAGGCAGAGCUCAAGAGAAUAACAGACAGUCUGGAAAGCACCCACCAGGAGCUACAGGACUCACGGAGGCUGCUGGAGCGUGUGAAGACAGAGGCCAGCAGCAGCAGACAGGAAGCCCUGAGACUCCAGCAGGAGAAUCAGCAGAUCCAGGAAGAGCUGGAUGUCAACAGAGAGACCCUCUCAGCCCUGAAGACUAAAGCCGGGUGUGUGAGGGGCGACUGGUGGAGCUGCACACCCAGCAGCAGAUGACAGCCCUGCAGGCCAGAGACGAGGAAGUGCUCAUGCUAAAGAUGUGACAGCUCCUGACUUCACAGGGAAAGCAAGCUUGUCGUGACCAACGUGAACCAGUGGAUGAAGGAGCAAAGUGAAGAAAGAGGCAGAGGAAGAAGAAAGCACUUCCUGACCACCUGCAGUGCAAGUCUGUGCCAGUCAGCGCCUGUGUCUGGAUCGAAGUCAAUGACUACAGAACGGUUUUCUGCAAACCAGCUGUCUCUUGGAUCACUGACACGAAGAGUUCUAGAAAAACAUGAUUAUCAAAUGAUGGCUGAUAAUUGACCUUACUACAGAUAAAUGACUGACAGCCCAAAUAACAAAUCAAAUCAAUUCUCAGACUUUUGUCUGUCAAACAAAAGUCGCCUGCACUUAACCAACUAAUACUAGUACUUACCUUUUUUUCUUUUUCUUUUCUAUCAUAUACAAAAAAAAAAAAAAAAAAACCCUGGCUACGUGUUCUGUACUAGACUAACUGAGACUUGUCAUAGCACUUGUAUACCGUUGUUGUUUUCUCGUUGAUCUGAUUGUUUCUACUGUUCUCAUUUGUAAGUCGCUUUGGAUAAAAGUGUCUGCUAAAUGAUUAAAUGUAAAUGUAAAUGUAAACUGACUGAAUUGUAGAUUGCAUGAACAACUAAACUUCUGAAUGAUUGUCCAAAAGCGAAACAUCUCUAUGUUUGCUCAAAGGAAUAGUAGAAUAUAGAUUUUCAAGGUUAAAGGCAGGUGCACAGACCCCAAGUAGAUCAUGCAUGUGAAUUUUGAUCUUUCUGUUGUUAAUGCCAUGCUAUACUGUCUGAGCUUCAGGAAAGCACAUAAAAAAUCUAUCUUUAAAAUUUGGAAAAAAAAUAUUUAAAACAAUGUUUAUAAUAUUCACAUUUUGUAAAAAGCAGAUGUUUUAAAAAUAUGUUAUGAGUUUUUUUUUUGUUGUUGUUUUGUUUUGUUUUAUCAUAUGUUCUCAUGUUUACUUUUUUGUAAUGUGUGAAAAGUAUUAAUGUUAAAGGUUUACUAUUUAUCCCUGAUUUUUUCUCAGAGUGUGAUUUUGGGUUAAUUGUAUUGAUUUAAUUUAGGAUCAAUUGACUCAGAACGUAAUUAUAUCCAGAAUUUUAACAUUAUACAAGUGAUAAAUAGCACUUGUUGUUCUUAAGGACAUUUACAUUCAUAGAAAAACACACACAAAAUGCAUUUGUCCUGUUUGCAUCUGCAGAAAGCGUCCAUUACAUAAUUUUCCUGUUUAUUAAUGUCAAUAUGUAUGACAACAACUGUCUGACUUCUUUACACUUGGCUAGAUUUUCCCUGGUAAUGUCACUAUUUUCUCAUCUUCUACCAUUAUAUUUAGUAUUUCGGCAUAAUAACCUGGAACAAAACCCUGUGCUUUCUGUUUUUUCUGCACAAUGAUUUGAGGUAUUUUAUUCCAAAGUCAUCAGGUACAUCAUUCGCAUGUACAUCACCUGUUUGAGAAGCAGCGGCAGUGGUUAAGUUAUUGCUGUCGUAAGGUCAGUUGGGUCACUAUACCUUGUUGAUACAGCUUAAACCAGUCUAAGAUGGUUUGCAUGGUCUAAGUUGAUUUGUGAUUAUCUCUCAGCCUGACCAGAUUGCAUGAACAACUAAACUUCUGAAUUAUUGUCCAAAAGCUAAACAUCUCUGUUUGCUCAAAGGAAUAGUAGAAUAUAGAUUUUCAAGGUUAAAGGCAGGUGCAGGUCAACUGGUCUUUUCAAGCCUGACCAGCCAAAAAAUAGCUAAAACCAGACUAGAAGACCAGUUAAGACUUUCUUGGUCAAGCAGCUUCACCGGCACUAGAGCAACAAAGAGCAUAAACAAACCUGAACCAGCAUGAGAAUUCAUGACUAAACUGAAGUAUUUAUCUGGAUACUCGUCUUAGAAAUGAUGAGAUCUCAUAUGUUGAUGAGACCUGAUUAUUUUCUGAAUAGCUCUGCACUAAGUAUCUGAUGCCCCUCGUGUUCAUUUAUAUACAGACAUCAGCUGCUGAUUUAUUUUUCUCUUUCAAAUUAAAUUUGCUGACAUGCAAUACUUCAUAUUUAAUGAACAUUCCGCUGUGAAUUUUGUGCCUAGUUACAUUUCAAGUUUACGGAGAUGAAUGAGAGUGUGAAUUCUAAUGGCAGGUAAAGUUUCAAUUCUGCUUCUGUCAUAGAUUGUGGUUUAGAAAAGUUAAAGGUAAGGCUUGUAUUUGUUUAUGAAUCAAUCAUAUAAUAAUGCCUCAUAUGACUGAUAGCCUAAUAUAAAACAUUUUAAUGGAUUUUACAUUGAAGGCAAUAUAAGUGACGUGUCAUAUCAGUCAGCCAGCAACAUUAAUAGCACUUUUAAAUGAUUAAAUAAUGCUGUGCCUUAUUCACUGUCAUCAUGCAUUUCCUAUAAACACAAAUCAGUCAAUAAAAGUGAUAUAUGUUUGUAUUUGGCA
Molecule: long non-coding RNA, 3599 nt
Organism: Cyprinus carpio (common carp)
Lineage: Eukaryota; Metazoa; Chordata; Actinopteri; Cypriniformes; Cyprinidae
Source: Ensembl